GCGAGUGAAGCGGCAAAAGCUCAAAUUUGAAAUCUGGUACCUUCGGUGCCCGAGUUGUAAUUUGGAGAGGGCAACUUUGGGGCCGUUCCUUGUCUAUGUUCCUUGGAACAGGACGUCAUAGAGGGUGAGAAUCCCGUGUGGCGAGGAGUGCGGUUCUUUGUAAAGUGCCCUCGAAGAGUCGAGUUGUUUGGGAAUGCAGCUCUAAGUGGGUGGUAAAUUCCAUCUAAAGCUAAAUAUUGGCGAGAGACCGAUAGCGAACAAGUACAGUGAUGGAAAGAUGAAAAGAACUUUGAAAAGAGAGUGAAAAAGUACGUGAAAUUGUUGAAAGGGAAGGGCAUUUGAUCAGACAUGGUGUUUUGUGCCCUCUGCUCCUUGUGGGUAGGGGAAUCUCGCAUUUCACUGGGCCAGCAUCAGUUUUGGUGGCAGGAUAAAUCCAUAGGAAUGUAGCUUGCCUCGGUAAGUAUUAUAGCCUGUUGGAAAU
This 481-nucleotide ribosomal RNA is filed under the name Saccharomyces cerevisiae (brewer's yeast). Its description in RNAcentral is "partial large subunit ribosomal RNA". It matches the Rfam family "Eukaryotic large subunit ribosomal RNA", at positions 89 to 572 of the family's 3401-position model. The record is from RNAcentral. Lineage: Eukaryota; Fungi; Ascomycota; Saccharomycetes; Saccharomycetales; Saccharomycetaceae.